RNAcentral lists this ribosomal RNA (382 nucleotides) under uncultured bacterium. Its description in RNAcentral is "bacterial SSU rRNA". It matches the Rfam family "Bacterial small subunit ribosomal RNA", at positions 335 to 713 of the family's 1533-position model. The record is from RNAcentral.
ACUCCUACGGGAGGCAGCAGUGGGGAAUAUUGCACAAUGGGGAAACCCUGAUGCAGCCAUGCCGCGUGUGUGAAGAAGGCCUUCGGUUGUAAGCACUUCAGUAGGAGGAAGGUAGUGUAGUUAACACCUGCACUAUUUGACGUUACCUACAGAAGAAGCACCGGCUAACUCCGUGCCAGCAGCCGCGGUAAUACGGAGGGGUGCGAGCGUUAAUCGGAAUUACUGGGCGUAAAGCGCAUGCAGGCGGCCUGUUAAGUCAGAUGUGAAAGCCCGGGGGCUUAACCUCGGAAUUGCAUUUGAAACUGGCAGGCUAGAGUCUUGUAGAGGGGGUAGAAUUUCAGGUGUAGCGGUGAAAUGCGUAGAGAUCUGAAGGAAUACCAGU